CAAGGCAGUGGAUUUGUGAUUCC
Molecule: transfer RNA, 23 nt
Filed under: Myriocephalus guerinae
Lineage: Eukaryota; Viridiplantae; Streptophyta; Magnoliopsida; Asterales; Asteraceae
Description: partial tRNA-His
Source: RNAcentral